GGGCCCGCACAAGCGGAGGAACAUGUGGUUUAAUUCGAUGAUACGCGAGGAACCUUACCCGGGCUUGAAAUGCAGAGGAAUGCGGUGGAAACACUUCAGUCAGCAAUGACCUCUGUGUAGGUGCUGCAUGGUUGUCGUCAGCUCGUGCCGUGAGGUGUCGGCUUAAGUGCCAUAACGAGCGCAACCCUCAUCGAUAGUUACCAUCAGGUCAUGCUGGGGACUCUAUCGAGACUGCCGCCGUAAGGUGUGAGGAAGGUGGGGAUGACGUCAAAUCAGCACGGCCCUUACGUCCGGGGCGACACACGUGUUACAAUGGGGGGGACAAAGGGCCGCUACCUGGCGACAGGAUGCCAAUCUCUAAACCCCCUCUCAGUUCGGAUCGGAGUCUGCAACCCGACUCCGUGAAGCUGGAUUCGCUAGUAAUCGCGCAUCAGCCAUGGCGCGGUGAAUACGUUCCCGGGCCUU
Molecule: ribosomal RNA, 465 nt
Filed under: uncultured bacterium
Lineage: Bacteria
Description: bacterial SSU rRNA
Rfam family: Bacterial small subunit ribosomal RNA
Source: RNAcentral